UACGUAGGGCGCAAGCGUUGUCCGGAAUUAUUGGGCGUAAAGCGCGUGUAGGCGGCUUUGCAAGUCGGGUGUGAAAGCCCUCAGCUUAACUGAGGAAGUGCGCCCGAAACUGCAUGGCUUGAGUACCGGAGAGGAUGGCGGAAUUCCCGAAGUAGAGGUGAAAUUCGUAGAUAUCGGGAGGAACACCGGUGGCGAAGGCGGCCAUCUGGACGGAUACUGACGCUGAGACGCGAAAGCGUGGGGAGCAAAAGGG
Molecule: ribosomal RNA, 253 nt
Filed under: uncultured bacterium
Lineage: Bacteria
Description: partial 16S ribosomal RNA
Rfam family: Bacterial small subunit ribosomal RNA
Source: RNAcentral